GACGAACGCUGGCGGCGUGCUUAACACAUGCAAGUCGAACGAAGUGGCGAACGGGUGAGUAACGCGUAAUCAACAUGCCCUUCAGAGGGGGACAACAGUUGGAAACGACUGCUAAUACCGCAUACUGAAGGAGGGGAUUGCGUCUGAUUAGCUAGUUGGAGGGGUAACGGCCCACCAUGGCGAUCGUCAGUAGCCGGUCUGAGAGGAUGAACGGCCAAAUGGGGACUUAGUAACGGCCCAGACUCCUACGGGAGGUAGCAGUGGGGAAUGUGCCGCAAUGGACGAAAGUCUGACGGAGCAAAGCCGCGUUAGUGAUGACGGCCUUCGGGUUGUAAAGCUCUGUUAAGCGGGACGCGGUACCGGAAUAGAAAGCCACGGCUAACUACGUGCCAGCAGCCGCGGUAAUUC
RNAcentral lists this ribosomal RNA (408 nucleotides) under uncultured bacterium. RNAcentral describes it as "partial 16S ribosomal RNA". It matches the Rfam family "Bacterial small subunit ribosomal RNA", at positions 28 to 526 of the family's 1533-position model. The record is from RNAcentral.